This is a non-coding RNA of Ailuropoda melanoleuca (giant panda), 73 nucleotides long. The record is from Rfam. NCBI's taxonomy places the organism in Eukaryota, Metazoa, Chordata, Mammalia, Carnivora, Ursidae.
ACCUGGCUGGCUUGGUCAGUGGAGUGUGAGACUCUUGAUUUCGGGGUUGUGGGUUCGAGUCCCACAUUGGGUG